This is a non-coding RNA of Misgurnus anguillicaudatus (oriental weatherfish), 1919 nucleotides long. The record is from RefSeq and is a predicted model, not a curated record. Lineage: Eukaryota; Metazoa; Chordata; Actinopteri; Cypriniformes; Cobitidae.
CUGUUAACGAUUUCUGUAAAUUACACUGUAUUUUACUGUAAUAUGAACUGUAUUUUACCGUAGGGCAUGUUAUACAGUAUGUUGCUGUAUUUUGAUGUUGCAUUGUGGGAAAUGUAAUCUUUGUGCCAGUAAAAUACUGUAUUUUCUGUUUACUGUAAAAUUUACAGUUAAUUAAAAAUACUGUAUUUUAAUGGCAGGUGGUGCUAAUUUGUUUUUUGGGGGAUUAACUCUCUGAUUAAGGUUUGGUGUCGUUGCAUAGUUAAGCCUAAAGGGGACUUUGAGUUAAUGUUGAGUGUCAAGCCUUACAAUCCAAUAUAGAAAGCUAUCUUAUACAAAUAAUGUAAUAUUAUUGUAUUUAAAUAUUGAUUUAAAAUGUAAAGUAAAAUUCAGAAGACUUAAACAAAGUCCUAAAAACAAUCAAACAACUAAAUUAGUGCAAGUAGAGCUGAUUUAUUUACCAAAACACAAUAUAAUCAUCUUCAUUAAAGCUUUGUAUAUUCCAAUUAAUUUACAAAUGUAAGUGUUUAAAAAUUAGAGAUAGGUUUUGCCGGUUGUUGAUGAGUGAUGAAUACCAGCUGUGAAUUUUCUCAACGCGUGUAAGCAGCCACGACACAGGAAACCGAAACAGUGUUCCAAUAUAAAGUGAGGGUCCUUGACAGUGGCCGAACCCGCAUACUACACGAUAUAAUGAUUCCCCACCUCGGGAGCUAUAGGGAACGAAUUGAGACACAGCCCUGGAUGUAAUCACGUCUGUGCUGAUCACGUGCCUGUACACAAACCCGCAGCUCACUUGCAAAAGAUUAUCCGGUUAUUUAUUACACGUAAAGUAAACGUUUUUAAUGUUAUCAUGAAUCAAUGUUAUAGUUUUGUAUGUCACAUUAUUUUUUGAGAAGAGUCAUGACUGAACGCGGACCUUACACGCUGUUAUUUUUUUGUGUGCGUAUGGCCAAGGUACAGUGCGCUCUUUUGCACUAUGACCAGCCAUCAGUAAAUCGAAAUACAGUAAAAAAAUGAGCGCGAAACCCUGACACUUUACAGAAAGGCACGGAUAUCCCCGCCCGAAGAAAAAAAGAACACAGGACAAUGGUUGCAAGUUAAACAGCUGAACAUUUCACCAUCUGCAAAGAACAUUUCACCAUCAACAUAUUAACAUAAACGGUUCUCUUUUUCUUGUUUGACUGCGUUUGGUACAGGUCACAACAACGACGGCAGAUGUAGAGACCACGCUUUCCCUUGCUUCCACUCCACGGCUGAUCAUGCUUGAGGAUCCAGAUCUACAAAACAAAAAAUGGAUGCUGCCGAUUGAAGGCUAAGUCCGAUUUCCUGCGAUUGACCUACCAUUUCUUCAGCAUUUGCUGUUCACUUUGUGUGGCUACUACGUGCUCAACAUCGAGUACCAUGUGCAAGCAGCCACUACUUUGGAGUUUAUUCAGAGAUUUAUUGUGAGGAUCAGCCCCGACAACAGCAAGUGCUCCUCUAACUUCCAGGUGAGCAAAAGAAGUGGGAAGAUGGUGCAAAGGAAGAACUCUGGCCUGAACCAUCAUGUAUAUAUCCACCUUUAUUAAGGACUUUAUGAAUUAAGCAAAACUAUUAAGCUACUAAAGCAAAUACAUUCUACUCAACUCACCAGAGGUUUGUGAAGUUCUUUUUCUAUCUUAAAGGUUUCUUUUAGUUAAUUUGUCCAUGCACUGAUUUAUAAUAUUGUAAUAUGAAACUACUGUUGCUUCUAAAAGCAAAAUAAGUCUAUGCAGGAGAGGUUUUGUUACGUUUUUUUUUUAAAUUAUUCUUAUAGACGGUUUCAUCGGACGCACAUGACACACGUCUGGAUCCGAUCCUUACUUCCGGUUUCGCUUUUUUAAUGGUCUGACUAGUUGCUAAACUGAUCUCUUGAACAAAAGCUUAGUUGAAAAUAACAAAUG